GUUUCUUUAUUCUACUGCACACUUCAAUAUGGAUUUUUAUUUUAAUAAUCUCAAAAAUCAUUAAGGGUAUUAUUUCAACUUACACACUGGGGAUAUUCCACUGAAUAUGACAAACACCAUGCCCUCUGGAGCUGACAUUCUAAUGGGGGACGUGAAAGUCAACAAGAAAACAAGUGAUAUUAUUUGUGAUUGAGAUCGGCCAGAGGAGACGCAGGACCAGAGAGCCGGUGCAGGGAGACCAGCCCAAGACCUCCCGUGGGGCCUGGAUCCCUUCCUCAUCCUGACAUCAGGAGGAUGGGAAGCUCCCAGUCCCGGAAGCCGGCCACCAUGUGGGCAAGGAAGAAGGCCGUCUGCCAUUGCUAAUUAGCGCCGAAGUGUGGAGGAUUCGGGAAGUUGAUCCAGUGUGGUAUUUGAAAACUCUUAUUCUUUUUUACUGCUUACGUCUCUGCCCACAGCUACUCAGAUGAUCAAGAGGUGUUUAAAACAACAAAGCAUCUCAUUAUCGUGCAAAUAUGAAUAUCAAAUGUGAAUAAAAAUUAAGCCAUGAGUUAUAAAUUAAAGAACAAUAAAAAACAUUAAAACUCCAUUUUUCCCUGAGGAAAUUAA
Molecule: long non-coding RNA, 606 nt
Organism: Suricata suricatta (meerkat)
Lineage: Eukaryota; Metazoa; Chordata; Mammalia; Carnivora; Herpestidae
Exons: 3
Source: RefSeq, a predicted model, not a curated record